Molecule: non-coding RNA, 73 nt
Organism: Stegodyphus mimosarum
Lineage: Eukaryota; Metazoa; Arthropoda; Arachnida; Araneae; Eresidae
Source: Rfam
GCCUUCGUGGUGUAGUGUUCUGCAUGCUCGACGGGUAACCGAGAGGUCCGUAGUUCGAUUCCUGGCGAAGGCG